Long non-coding RNA from Tympanuchus pallidicinctus (lesser prairie-chicken), 401 nucleotides. RefSeq lists it as uncharacterized. The transcript has 4 exons. NCBI's taxonomy places the organism in Eukaryota, Metazoa, Chordata, Aves, Galliformes, Phasianidae. The record is from RefSeq and is a predicted model, not a curated record.
AUGCUUUAAAAUACUGAUCUAGACUGUAAGCCUGUUUUACAGAACAUGGCAUCUCCCUGGGUCCUAUGAAGGAUGAGAACAGCCUUCUCUUCAUUUUUCAUUCUUUCCUUUGAUGAAUCUCGUAAUGUCUUUCUGAUCAACCAGUGCUGAUCUGCUAUUGGCAUUCUAGGAGGAUUUCCCAUCAUGCCAUUUUCCAUGUGCAAUUACAAUAUUCCAGUGAAUUGCUUCCCUGUUGGGUACAUUAACAAGUUUCUAACUGAUUACUUGGAAUCAUUUGCCUGAUGUUUGCUAUGAGUUUUCACUGAUGGUGAGUUAAAAUAACUUUUAAUGUUAAGUGGUUUAGCUUUACUUACGGCACUCGGAGUUUGGGAAAUUUCUGGAUAUCAUUUUCAGACAUGUUC